Molecule: transfer RNA, 74 nt
Filed under: Candidatus Mesenet longicola
Lineage: Bacteria; Pseudomonadati; Pseudomonadota; Alphaproteobacteria; Rickettsiales; Anaplasmataceae
Description: tRNA-Lys
Rfam family: tRNA
About the family: Transfer RNA (tRNA) molecules are approximately 80 nucleotides in length. Their secondary structure includes four short double-helical elements and three loops (D, anti-codon, and T loops).
Source: RNAcentral
GAUCCUGUAGCUCAGCCGGUAGAGCACUUGACUUUUAAUCAAGGUGUCGCGCGUUCGAUUCGCGCCAGGAUCAC